CCUACGGGAGGCAGCAGUAAGGAAUAUUGGUCAAUGGACGCAAGUCUGAACCAGCCAUGCCGCGUGAAGGAUUAAGGUCCUCUGGAUUGUAAACUUCUUUUAUCUGGGACGAAAAAAGGCGAUUCUUCGUCACUUGACGGUACCAGAUGAAUAAGCACCGGCUAACUCCGUGCCAGCAGCCGCGGUAAUACGGAGGGUGCAAGCGUUAUCCGGAUUCACUGGGUUUAAAGGGUGCGUAGGCGGGCAGGUAAGUCAGUGGUGAAAUCCUGGAGCUUAACUCUAGAACUGCCAUUGAUACUAUCUGUCUUGAAUAUUGUGGAGGUAAGCGGAAUAUGUCAUGUAGCGGUGAAAUGCUUAGAUAUGACAUAGAACACCUAUUGCGAAGGCAGCUUACUACGCAUAUAUUGACGCUGAGGCACGAAAGCGUGGGGAUCAAACAGGAUUAGAUACCCUGGUAGUCCACGCCCUAAACGAUGAUUACUCGACAUUUGUGAUACACUAUAAGUGUCUGAGCGAAAGCAUUAAGUAAUCCACCUGGGAAGUACGACCGCAAGGUUGAAACUUAAAUGAAUUGACGG
Molecule: ribosomal RNA, 578 nt
Filed under: uncultured bacterium
Lineage: Bacteria
Description: bacterial SSU rRNA
Rfam family: Bacterial small subunit ribosomal RNA
Source: RNAcentral